AAGUGAAAAUGAUAAAAAAGUAAAAAGGAAGAAGAUGUAAAAGCCAAAGGUCACUGCAUCUUAAAAUCAGGGACUGAUACUUUUUGAACAAUGAAAACACACUUGAUGAACCUCGCAGAUGAAAUAGGAAAAAACACAAACAGCUUCCUAAUUGGAGUUCACUGGCCUUUGUAGCACUGUAACACUAGGGAGCACACUUUCAUCAGGAAUUAUACUGCUUGUAGGAUCUACAGAGAAUUGGAGUUCGAAGUCAGUUCAGCAAAUCCGCAAUUUGGCAGCAGGCCAGCCCCUGCCCUGCUAUACA
This 304-nucleotide long non-coding RNA is filed under the name Numida meleagris (helmeted guineafowl). RNAcentral describes it as "lncRNA (ENSNMEG00000018656.1)". The record is from RNAcentral. Lineage: Eukaryota; Metazoa; Chordata; Aves; Galliformes; Numididae.